Felis catus (domestic cat) is the source of this 2947-nucleotide long non-coding RNA. RefSeq lists it as uncharacterized. NCBI's taxonomy places the organism in Eukaryota, Metazoa, Chordata, Mammalia, Carnivora, Felidae. The record is from RefSeq and is a predicted model, not a curated record. The transcript is spliced from 2 exons.
CAGCACAGAGCCCAACUCGAGGCUCGAACCCACGAACUGCGAGAUCAUGACCUGAGCCGAAGUUGGACGCUCAAGCGACUGAGCCACCCAGACGCCCCUCUUCUUUACUUUUAAAAACAUAAUUGGCUCCUGAUUUCUUCCUGCACCUCUGUGGAUCAUCUUGUUUACCUCAGAGGCCACUAGCUUAAAUAUUAAGGGAGGUGAAUUACCUCACAGAAAUUGAAGAUUGGGCCGUUCCAGGAUCAAUAAAUGUGGCAGCUCAUGGAUGUCAUCAAGGACCCAGGUUCCUUCCGGCUUUCUGCUCUGCCAGCCUCCACAUGUGAGCUUCGUUCUGGAAUUGCUUCCCGCAGGGUCUUGACUCGCACAGUUGCCAGACAUGAGGCCAACCACUUGAGAAGAAGACCUUGUUUCCCAGCUUUUUUUUUUUUUUUUUUUUUUUUUUUAAGAGCAAAGAAACUUGCUCAUGAGCCCACCUGCAUGGUUCCUCUCACUUUUCACUAGGGAAGUGGGGUACAUAAACAUGCCCAAACUAAUAACCGGGAAAGAGAUUGGGACCACCGUGGCAGACUUAAAUAAGUCUCACCUCUUAGGGCUUCGGUUGGGCUCAGCUUCCCACUGGCCUCAAGAGGAGGAUGUGCUAGAACUGAGCCAUGUCUCUGUUAGGAAGACGGAAGAGAAAAUGGCUGUUGGCAACUAUCGGUUUGCUUGAAUCUACCGCACGGGGGAAUGACUACUGCUACUUAGGAGCCUCAGGGAGAUGCCAAAAACAACCCCUCUGAUUGUACGUCAGCUUUGUUUUCCACACAUGUACACAAAAACCAACUCUUACCAAUUCUCAUUCAGAAUGAACUGAUGUACUCUUGUUUGAAAGUCAUGGUCGUCCAGGUCUAGAAUCCAUAAACAACAAGGAUAUAGGCACACCCCUGACUGGAAUAGCCAGGGAACUGUAAAGAACCCAAAGCUGGGAAGAGCUUGAGCUACCUGAACACAGGCCCAAGAAAACCCAAGUCCCUGGCUGGGAAAAUUUCUCUCUUGGGUAUGACUAGUUUCACCUAUAACAAAAAUAAGACCAUGUUGUUGAGCUAGUGCUUGGUAAACACAUCCUCUGUCAAUGAAAAAGGAUGGCUCAAAUAGCAUAAGAGAGGGAAAGGAAAUAGAUGUGAACUAAGCACCUACUUUAUGGUAGUGGCUGCUGUUUACUGGCCGUCUGCCUGUGUGGCAGGUGCUGUAUGCAAAUUUUAAGAGCAUUUGAGCAAGGCAGUUAGUGCUACUCUCCUGAAGUGUAGGCAGCUUCUAGCCUGGUCCUCGGUGAUCCCCGGCUCCUGGUAUUCAUUCACCCUUGAGAGUGAGCUGGACCUAAUGACUCUUCUCAUGAAUACAGCAAAAGUGAUGGGUGUCACUUCUGUAAUUAGAUUACAGAAGACUGACAUCCGCCUUACUGGUGUAUACUCUGGCUCUUCUUACUUGCUUACUUGAAUGUAAAGGCCCACCUGGCAAGGAACUGAGUGUAGCAUGGGGCCAAUAGCCAGCAAGGAACUGAGACCUUCAGUACCAGCCCAUGAGGCACUGAAUUCUACCAACAGCUGCUGAGUGAACUUAGAAGUGGAUCUUGCCCCACUUGAACACAACGAGUAUUUCUGCCCUGGCUGACACCUUGAUCAUAGCCUUGUGAGAGAUGGUGAGCCAAAGAACUUAGCCAAGCUGUGCCCAGAUUCCUGCUCCAAGGAAACUAUGAGGUAAUAUAUACAUGGUGUUUUGAGCCACUACAUUUUGGAGUAAUUUGUUACAGAGCAAUAGAUAACAAUUAUGAGAUAGUCAAGAUGUCAGAGAUUUAAAAACUCGUCCAAAGUUACAUAGCAGCGGCAGAUUUGAGCCUUCAUCUGCCAGGAUGCUUUUGUCUCUACCACCUGAUCAUCCUGACAGCCUCCGGUGGAAGUAAGCUCUGUCCCAGUGUAAUUCUUAAGACCCACUAAUCAUACCUCCCUAGCCGAAGCUGUUCAACCAUGUCUAUAAUAACCUUAGGAGAGAACCUUCUCCACUGAGGUUCCAUGACAGAAGCCCUAGAGAAAAUGGUUUGAACAGUUUUGUUUUUGUUUUUUUCACUUUUCCCAAGGUUGGUACAUGGCUUCUAGAUGCACAGAGAGAAGUUCCGUAUACUGGGUGCCUUUAGGGCAUAAGGGAUUAAUUCUCUCAGAAACCCUGGUUGAGAAGGGCUAGUGGGGAGAGAGAAGCAGAGCAGGAGAAAAUCAUGAGGUGUGCUCUGGGGAGAAAAAUGCCCUGAGUAUCCCCCGGAAGAGAUUUUCCUCAUGAAGCAGCCUCAAAAGCUACUAGUGAAGCCAGGAACUAGACAGACAGACACACACACACACACACACACACACACACACACACACACACACACACACACGAGUCCUCUAGGGCCAGUGCUCAAGGCCAGUCUGUGGCUCUCCUCUGGUGAUAAUAGGGUGAGGCCUUAGCUGGAUGGGGUACUUGAGUCCCACUUGCACUGUUUCCUGCAUUUUCCAGGGGCAUCCGGAGGUGGGAGGAGCCACAGGAAAGGCCUGUCCUCUCAGGCAGCACUAUCUGUUGGCAUGAAGUCCAAUGGAGCUCUUGGGAAGCGAGGGAUUUCAGGUAUCCUGUACCCCCCGAUAGGAUGUACUGAGGAGGAUACUUCACCUCUGUGGUAUUUUCUCCAAAAUCCAUAACCUCAGUCUACACACAAGAAAACGUCCGACACGUCCAAAGUGAGGGACUUUCUACGGGACACCUGACUGCUCCCUCGUCAGAGGUGUCAAGGUCGUGAAAAAUGAGGAAAGACCAAAAUCUGCCUCGGAUUAAGGUGACUGUGGAGACAGGGAGACUUAAGUGCAGCGUGGGAUCCUGGGAUUGAGAAAAGAUAUUUGUGGAAAAGCUGGAGGAAUUGGAAUAAACUUCGUGGCUUAGUUAA